This 578-nucleotide ribosomal RNA is filed under the name uncultured Bacteroidota bacterium. Its description in RNAcentral is "bacterial SSU rRNA". It matches the Rfam family "Bacterial small subunit ribosomal RNA", at positions 338 to 916 of the family's 1533-position model. The record is from RNAcentral. Lineage: Bacteria; Pseudomonadati; Bacteroidota.
CCUACGGGAGGCAGCAGUAGGGAAUAUUGGACAAUGGACGCAAGUCUGAUCCAGCCAUGCCGCGUGCAGGAUGACAGCCCUCUGGGUUGUAAUCUGCUUUUAUAUGAGAAGAAACCUUCAGAUGCGUCUGAGGCUGACGGUAUCAUAUGAAUAAGGAUCGGCUAACUUCGUGCCAGCAGCCGCGGUAAGACGAAGGAUCCAAGCGUUGUCCGGAUUUACUGGGUUUAAAGGAUGCGUAGGCGGACACUUAAGCCAGUGGUGAAAUCCCAUAGCUCAACUAUGGAACUGCCAUUGGAACUGUGUGUCUUGAAUUCGGUUGAGGUAGAUGGAAUAUAACAUGUAGCGGUGAAAUGCUUAGAUAUGUUAUAGAACACCGAUUGCGAAGGCAGUCUACUAAGCCGACAUUGACGCUGAGGCAUGAAAGCGUGGGGAGCGAACAGGAUUAGAUACCCUGGUAGUCCACGCCCUAAACGUUGAUUACUCGCUGUUAGCGAUACACUGUUAGCGGCUAAGCGAAAGCGUUAAGUAAUCCACCUGGGAAGUACGACCGCAAGGUUGAAACUCAAAGGAAUUGACGG